Small nucleolar RNA from Lupinus angustifolius (narrow-leaved blue lupine), 132 nucleotides. NCBI's taxonomy places the organism in Eukaryota, Viridiplantae, Streptophyta, Magnoliopsida, Fabales, Fabaceae. The record is from Rfam.
AUCCCGGCUAAGCUAAUUCAAGUGCUUAUGCUGAUUCAUGGGAGGCCAAAAUUGAAUGUUGGAGGUUUCGCUGAUAAAUGCUGGUUUCUUAUUAUUAUUUCCAAGCGUUUACUAGUAACUUUCCACACAUUA